This 176-nucleotide ribosomal RNA is filed under the name bacterium enrichment culture DGGE band D7. Its description in RNAcentral is "partial 16S ribosomal RNA". It matches the Rfam family "Bacterial small subunit ribosomal RNA", at positions 334 to 524 of the family's 1533-position model. The record is from RNAcentral.
UACUCCUACGGGAGGCAGCAGUAGGGAAUAUUGCACAAUGGAGGAAACUCUGAUGCAGCGACGCCGCGUGAGUGAUGAAGGCCUUCGGGUCGUAAAGCUCUGUCGCAAGGGAAUAACACAAUGAAUGUACCCUGUAAGAAAGGAUCAGCUAACUUCGUGCCAGCAGCCGCGGUAAU